GAUGAACGCUGGCGGCGUGCCUAAUACAUGCAAGUCGAGCGAACAGAUGAGGAGCUUGCUCCUCUGACGUUAGCGGCGGACGGGUGAGUAACACGUGGCUAACCUACCUAUAAGACUGGGAUAACUUCGGGAAACCGGAGCUAAUACCGGAUCAUAUAUUGAACCGCAUGGUUCAAUAGUGAAAGACGGUUUUGCUGUCACUUAUAGAUGGUUCCGCGCCGCAUUAGCUAGUUGGUAAGGUAACGGCUUACCAAGGCAACGAUGCGUAGCCGACCUGAGAGGAUGAUCGGCCACACUGGAACUGAGACACGGUCCAGACUCCUACGGGAGGCAGCAGUAGGGAAUCUUCCGCAAUGGGCGAAAGCCUGACGGAGCAACGCCGCGUGUGUGAUGAAGGUCUUCGGAUCGUAAAACUCUGUUAGUAGGGAAGAACAAAUGUGUAAGUAAAUAUGCACGUCUUGACGGUACCUAAUCAGAAAGCCACGGCUAACUACGUG
This 497-nucleotide ribosomal RNA is filed under the name uncultured bacterium. RNAcentral describes it as "partial 16S ribosomal RNA". It matches the Rfam family "Bacterial small subunit ribosomal RNA", at positions 28 to 507 of the family's 1533-position model. The record is from RNAcentral.